This 370-nucleotide ribosomal RNA is filed under the name Parmacochlea fischeri. RNAcentral describes it as "partial 16S ribosomal RNA". It matches the Rfam family "Archaeal large subunit ribosomal RNA", at positions 1996 to 2653 of the family's 2987-position model. The record is from RNAcentral. Lineage: Eukaryota; Metazoa; Mollusca; Gastropoda; Stylommatophora; Helicarionidae.
UUUAUUUAACGGCCGCAGUACCUUGACUGUGCUAAGGUAGCAUAAUAAAUUGACUUUUAAUUGAAGCCUUGAAUGAAAGGAUAAUUGGAUAAUUUCUGUCUUUAAUUAAUUACUUAUAAUUUACUUAAAAGGUGAAAAUUCCUUUAGAUAAAUAUAAUAGACGAGAAGACCCUAGGAGUUUUAAAUUUUGUUGGGGCGACAGUAUAGCAUAUAACUAACCUAUAUAAAAAUUAUAAAAAUUUAACGAAUAGUUUUAAUAAUAAAUAAACUACCCUAGGGAUAACAGCAUAAUUUUUAAAUAAAGUUUGUGACCUCGAUGUUGGACUAGGGACUUUUAAGGCUAACAGCGUUAAUUGACAGUUCUGUUCGA